GCCCUGGCUCUGUGUGUCCCAGCAGACUGGUGUGGCCACUCUGCCCAAAUGCCAGGCGAGGACAGGAGCAGUGCCAAAGGGCAGAAGAGGAGUCUUACCUGUGGCCAUGCUGGGCAGGACAGUUCUGCAAGGUGGCUCUGGAGAAGUUUUCACUGGCCUUGUCUGGUUCCCGUGAGAAGAUUGCUGCUGUUGGGAGAUGGCCCCUUCAGGACUGUUUCAUUGGGAUUGACUUGAUACCACUUAAAACAUACAAUAACACUGAAAUGAAAAUUCACCCGGUUGUAUAAUUUUAAGAAGAAAUACUGCACAGGCUUGAUUUGGAAGCAGUCGCAACACUGCCGAAGAUUUGCACGGACAGUUUAGAGAACUGCGUUUUUCCUGAAACGUUUGAAAGGAAGCGGCCAGCCUAGUGCCUCGUAUAGCCCGCAAGGUUAAGCAUGCCUCUCCGCAGAGGAAGAUUCUUCUCCGUGGACGCAGUAAGGCCCGCACAGUCAGAAAGUGACGGUGGCAUACCCCUGCCUGCUGACAGUCGACCCCAGCCACUUACAGGGACGGUUGUAAUAGUAGCCUUCAUGCAGGCAGAAGCAGCCGGCUGGCAUCUCCUGCUGUGAGCUUGAGUCUCCACCUCCCUUGGUCGGAGCAAAUUUCCUGUAAGCCUUCAAUCUUUUUUUUUUUUUUUUUCUUGGAAAUCUCAGCUAACUGAAGAACUUCCUAAAAACUUCAUAAAUGCUAUUUUAGGGAAGUACCCACAUUUUUAUAAAACAAUACAAAUAAUUGCAUUUUCUGGAAUACUUUUUCAGUGUAAAGAAAUACACGUAUCUUCACAUUCAUGAGCGCCACUGUGUUCGAAUUUACUUGUUUUCUAGUUAUGCCUCUGCCAUACGUAUGUGUAUGUAUG
Long non-coding RNA from Octodon degus (degu), 898 nucleotides. RefSeq lists it as uncharacterized. The record is from RefSeq and is a predicted model, not a curated record. Lineage: Eukaryota; Metazoa; Chordata; Mammalia; Rodentia; Octodontidae. The transcript is spliced from 3 exons.